RNAcentral lists this ribosomal RNA (436 nucleotides) under uncultured Bacteroidota bacterium. Its description in RNAcentral is "bacterial SSU rRNA". It matches the Rfam family "Bacterial small subunit ribosomal RNA", at positions 93 to 526 of the family's 1533-position model. The record is from RNAcentral. Lineage: Bacteria; Pseudomonadati; Bacteroidota.
AUUUGGCGGACGGGUGAGUAACGCGUAUGCAACAUACCUUGUGCAGGGGGAUAGCCCGUGGAAACGCGGAUUAAUAUUCCAUAGAUCAGUAACAUCGCAUGGUGUAACUGGUAAAGUUAAGGCGGCACAAGAUUGGCAUGCGUCUGAUUAGCUGGUUGGUAGGGUAACGGCCUACCAAGGCGACGAUCAGUAGGGGUUCUGAGAGGAUUAACCCCCACACUGGUACUGAGACACGGACCAGACUCCUACGGGAGGCAGCAGUGAGGAAUAUUGGUCAAUGAGCGGAAGCCUGAACCAGCCAUCCCGCGUGAAGGAAGAAGGCCCUACGGGUUGUAAACUUCUUUUCUGUUUGAAGAAUAAGCCCGUCGUGACGGGUGAUGCCGGUAGGACAGGAAUAAGCAUCGGCUUACUCCGUGCCAGCAGCCGCGGUAAUAAU